RNAcentral lists this ribosomal RNA (464 nucleotides) under uncultured bacterium. Its description in RNAcentral is "bacterial SSU rRNA". It matches the Rfam family "Bacterial small subunit ribosomal RNA", at positions 330 to 792 of the family's 1533-position model. The record is from RNAcentral.
GCCAGACUCCUACGGGAGGCAGCAGUGAGGAAUAUUGGUCAAUGGCCGAGAGGCUGAACCAGCCAAGUCGCGUGAGGGAUGACGGCCCUACGGGUUGUAAACCUCUUUUGUCGGGGAGCAAAGAGAGUCACGUGUGGCUCAUUGAGAGUACCCGGAGAAAAAGCAUCGGCUAACUCCGUGCCAGCAGCCGCGGUAAUACGGAGGAUGCGAGCGUUAUCCGGAUUUAUUGGGUUUAAAGGGUGCGCAGGCGGGCUGUUAAGCCGGCGGUAAAAAUUCAGGGCUCAACCCUGUCGAGCCGUCGGAACUGGCAGUCUUGAGUGGGCGAGAAGUAUGCGGAAUGCGUGGUGUAGCGGUGAAAUGCUUAGAUAUCACGAAGAACCCCGAUUGCGAAGGCAGCCUGCCGCAGCGUUACUGACGCUGAAGCUCGAAAGCGCGGGUAUCGAACAGGAUUAGAUACCCCAGUA